This 208-nucleotide non-coding RNA is filed under the name Sporomusa sphaeroides. RNAcentral describes it as "Sporomusa sp. T-box sequence". It matches the Rfam family "T-box leader". Rfam says of the family: Uncharged tRNA acts as the effector for transcription antitermination of genes in the T-box leader family. The record is from RNAcentral. Lineage: Bacteria; Bacillati; Bacillota; Negativicutes; Selenomonadales; Sporomusaceae.
UCACCGGUGAUGACGGAAAAAAGUAAUUCAGUACUUUCAUUCAGAGAGCUAGUGGUUGGUGCGAACUAGUUGAAACUACCGGGUGAAGUUCCUUCCCGAACCGCAGGCUGAAAAUUAUAGUAGGCCGUGCCGUAAUUGUCUACGUUACAGACUUAAAGUAGAUCUUAGGAUUAAAACAGGGUGGUACCGCGGCUUUUUCGCCCCUUAG